GCUUGCUGCUUGGCUGACGAGUGGCGGACGGGUGAGUAAUGUCUGGGAAACUGCCUGAUGGAGGGGGAUAACUACUGGAAACGGUAGCUAAUACCGCAUAAUGUCGCAAGACCAAAGAGGGGGACCUUCGGGCCUCUUGCCAUCGGAUGUGCCCAGAUGGGAUUAGCUAGUUGGUGGGGUAACGGCUCACCUAGGCGACGAUCCCUAGCUGGUCUGAGAGGAUGACCAGCCACACUGGAACUGAGACACGGUCCAGACUCCUACGGGAGGCAGCAGUGGGGAAUAUUGCACAAUGGGCGCAAGCCUGAUGCAGCCAUGCCGCGUGUAUGAAGAAGGCCUUCGGGUUGUAAAGUACUUUCAGCGGGGAGGAAGGGAGUAAAGUUAAUACCUUUGCUCAUUGACGUUACCCGCAGAAGAAGCACCGGCUAACUCCGUGCCAGCAGCCGCGGUAAUACGGAGGGUGCAAGCGUUAAUCGGAAUUACUGGGCGUAAAGCGCACGCAGGCGGUUUGUUAAGUCAGAUGUGAAAUCCCCGGGCUCAACCUGGGAACUGCAUCUGAUACUGGCAAGCUUGAGUCUCGUAGAGGGGGGUAGAAUUCCAGGUGUAGCGGUGAAAUGCGUAGAGAUCUGGAGGAAUA
RNAcentral lists this ribosomal RNA (637 nucleotides) under coliform bacterium S1/2. RNAcentral describes it as "bacterial SSU rRNA". It matches the Rfam family "Bacterial small subunit ribosomal RNA", at positions 74 to 708 of the family's 1533-position model. The record is from RNAcentral.